ACACAUGUGCCUAUUUUUACCACAUUAGCUCGCCUAUAUUUUGAAAGAAUUUUCUUUUUAUUUCUUUCCUUUGCAUAAUCUCAAGUUUUUCUUUCUUUUAUUGUUCCCUUUCUUUUUCUCAUUUAUUUUUCAUCAGUGAUUUGAUCCUAGGCACUCACUUACAAGUCUAUGGCCCAUGAUCACCUUCUUUCAAGAUCCACCCCCAACUUAAG
RNAcentral lists this long non-coding RNA (212 nucleotides) under Capsicum annuum. Its description in RNAcentral is "long non-coding RNA (CANN_LNC000847)". Lineage: Eukaryota; Viridiplantae; Streptophyta; Magnoliopsida; Solanales; Solanaceae. The record is from RNAcentral.